Molecule: ribosomal RNA, 316 nt
Filed under: uncultured Bacteroidales bacterium
Lineage: Bacteria; Pseudomonadati; Bacteroidota; Bacteroidia; Bacteroidales
Description: bacterial SSU rRNA
Rfam family: Bacterial small subunit ribosomal RNA
Source: RNAcentral
GAUAAACGCUAGCGGCAGGCCUAACACAUGCAAGUCGAGCGGUAACAUGAGAUAGCAAUAUUUUGAUGACGAGCGGCGGACGGGUGAGUAACGCGUAUGCAACCUGCCCACCACACGGAGAUAGCCGACCGAAAGGACGAUUAAACUCCGAUGGCAUUGGGAACCGGCAUCGGUAUCCAAUUAAAUAUUCAUAGGUGGUGGAUGGGCAUGCGUGGCAUUAGUUAGUUGGCGGGGCAACGGCCCACCAAGACGAUGAUGCCUAUGGGUUCUAAAAGGAAGAUCCCACACAUCGGUACUGAGACACGGACCGAACUCC